This is a long non-coding RNA of Drosophila guanche, 1357 nucleotides long. RefSeq lists it as uncharacterized. The record is from RefSeq and is a predicted model, not a curated record. NCBI's taxonomy places the organism in Eukaryota, Metazoa, Arthropoda, Insecta, Diptera, Drosophilidae. The transcript has 2 exons.
GCGGCAGCGUGGCUAAGCCGCUUUUGAAGCCACCAACCACAAUUGACAAGCGUGCCCCUCCAAUGCAUUGCUCUGCCCUGAUCCUGCACAUCAAAGUCGCCUCGCCGACCGCCCGCACCUUCGCUCUCUCAGUCAGUCAGUCAGUCAGUCAGUCAGUCAGUCCAGUCACUUGCCUAACGGUCGCUGUCGUAAUGUGCGUGCAAGAUGGAUUUUCGGUGCUCCGUGGGUGUGGCUUAUUUUAAAGCAAUUAAAUCCACAGUGAAGCGUGUCUUCUUCGGCUGCCAUCGACAUCUCUCUGAUGUACGAGGACACUUUGGACUAUUGUCAGUCCGCCUUUCAUCUCGGCGGCAAACAGAUCAUUUGAGAUAAGGAUAUCCCAGCCAUAGAAUUGAUUGGUUGCACCGCAAGAGACGCUCACAAAACGAACCAAACUAUGAUUGAAAUUUAACGGCUGCAAGUUAUAACAGGAAUAACAGCAAGGAAGGUACAAUAAAAACUUUGAAAUGGUUAAAUGCAUUUUUAGUGCAUUCUUUCCGCAAGGAUUUCAAUAAAGCUGCCCGACCAAAGCAACAAAUAAAUACAAUAAAAUUGUAGCUUAAUAGGAGUCGAUUUUAUGGGCAAUGGGCAAGAUAUAAAGGUAUCUCAAGGUAUCAGCCACGAUUCUGUUAAAGUAGAUCCUUAAAAUUCCAUUCCAACUCCAUUAAAUGCUUUUUGUUCUUUUACUUCUACAGGUCCUGCCGGAGAUGGAGGCCCCAAGAGCCAAGCGUGGUUUCUUUCCACAAAUCUGGCCUAUGAGGUGGCUGCCAGCUAUGUCAAUGCCCAAUGGCUGCAUCUGGGCUGCUGCUUGGUACUGCUGCUGGAUAACGAUUGCUUUCAUUUCAGCCAGCAGCGGAAGCUGAGCCACCAGAUGAUCCUAUACUGCACCACACUGGCCUCGGUACCGACAUGGAUGGAUGCGCCAUUUUAUGGCGAAUAAACGCCCUAGAGCUCUGAGGAGGUGCAUGUCCUGGCCCACAAUGCCCAAGUAUUGUCAGCUAGCAGAUUGAGCUGCAAGAAGCAAGCUUUCAUCUGGCAACUCGAACUUCAGUGUCGAUAUUGUGAUAAGCUCUGCGCUGAAAAGCUCUCCAAUGCCCGCAGAAGAUCAAUGAAGGCUGGUGGCUCGUUAUUGGUGACCAUUUGCUUGCUCUCCAUCAAACGCCUACGUUCCAGCAGAAGGCCAAGCAGUCAAUCUGGAGUUUGUGGCCCCCAUGAGCGAUUCCCAUUUGGGCUGCGAUCGGGAGUACAAUGUCUCCAUCGAUGUGGCGGGUUUGCAGGCUAAGAUUGACAUAAAUCACAUACAUAUGUACAUGCAUGUAAA